CAACGCACAGUGCUCACGCAACCCCACCCGCCAGCCAGACGGUUUAAAACCAGAGAGAGAAAAAUAAUGCAGUUCCAUUGUUCAAACACCUCUCCCUCUCUCCCUCUCUCUCCCUUUCUGGACCUCUCACGAGCAGGGGCGCCUUUCCUCCCUCCCAUCCUCCUCCUCCUCCGGUCGAUGGAGGAGCCGCCGGACCACGCCACGGCCACGAGAUAUUCUUAACAUAUGGAUUAAGGAAUUUAUACAAGAGGGAAGCCUGUUCUUGUUUCAGCCGGAUCUCAGACUCAUAAUUGAUUGAGUUGGAAAUAAGGAAAGAACACUUCUUGAGAACAUCGCAUUGUUCCAACUAAUAUCCAACUAGGAACGCGCACAGAUUUGAGUGGCUAACAUAAAGAUCUUGUGUGGGUGCCAGUAAAUUCGACAUACAACUCACAAAAAUCAGCUGAUGAAGGGAACCUUUUUAAGUUAUAUUCCACCCUGCAACUGUACUAUGACCUUAAUUUGUUCUUUGAGAGUGACUUGUGCCUUGACCUGUGCUGUGGUACCUGUACCUCUGUAGUAGCAACGACAAUAGUGCUAAAUACAGUUGACCUGAUGAUAUUGCUCAUCACCGAUAGGAAGAAUCAUUUCGUUUUCUCCUUUCCCCAAUCAUAAUGCCCUUUUCU
Molecule: long non-coding RNA, 665 nt
Organism: Triticum aestivum (bread wheat)
Lineage: Eukaryota; Viridiplantae; Streptophyta; Magnoliopsida; Poales; Poaceae
Exons: 3
Source: RefSeq, a predicted model, not a curated record